This 2922-nucleotide ribosomal RNA is filed under the name Staphylococcus aureus R0615. Its description in RNAcentral is "bacterial LSU rRNA". It matches the Rfam family "Bacterial large subunit ribosomal RNA". Lineage: Bacteria; Bacillati; Bacillota; Bacilli; Caryophanales; Staphylococcaceae. The record is from RNAcentral. RNAcentral also lists the same sequence under 9 other names.
UUAAGUUAUUAAGGGCGCACGGUGGAUGCCUUGGCACUAGAAGCCGAUGAAGGACGUUACUAACGACGAUAUGCUUUGGGGAGCUGUAAGUAAGCUUUGAUCCAGAGAUUUCCGAAUGGGGAAACCCAGCAUGAGUUAUGUCAUGUUAUCGAUAUGUGAAUACAUAGCAUAUCAGAAGGCACACCCGGAGAACUGAAACAUCUUAGUACCCGGAGGAAGAGAAAGAAAAUUCGAUUCCCUUAGUAGCGGCGAGCGAAACGGGAAGAGCCCAAACCAACAAGCUUGCUUGUUGGGGUUGUAGGACACUCUAUACGGAGUUACAAAGGACGACAUUAGACGAAUCAUCUGGAAAGAUGAAUCAAAGAAGGUAAUAAUCCUGUAGUCGAAAAUGUUGUCUCUCUUGAGUGGAUCCUGAGUACGACGGAGCACGUGAAAUUCCGUCGGAAUCUGGGAGGACCAUCUCCUAAGGCUAAAUACUCUCUAGUGACCGAUAGUGAACCAGUACCGUGAGGGAAAGGUGAAAAGCACCCCGGAAGGGGAGUGAAACAGAACCUGAAACCGUGUGCUUACAAGUAGUCAGAGCCCGUUAAUGGGUGAUGGCGUGCCUUUUGUAGAAUGAACCGGCGAGUUACGAUUUGAUGCAAGGUUAAGCAGUAAAUGUGGAGCCGUAGCGAAAGCGAGUCUGAAUAGGGCGUUUAGUAUUUGGUCGUAGACCCGAAACCAGGUGAUCUACCCUUGGUCAGGUUGAAGUUCAGGUAACACUGAAUGGAGGACCGAACCGACUUACGUUGAAAAGUGAGCGGAUGAACUGAGGGUAGCGGAGAAAUUCCAAUCGAACCUGGAGAUAGCUGGUUCUCUCCGAAAUAGCUUUAGGGCUAGCCUCAAGUGAUGAUUAUUGGAGGUAGAGCACUGUUUGGACGAGGGGCCCCUCUCGGGUUACCGAAUUCAGACAAACUCCGAAUGCCAAUUAAUUUAACUUGGGAGUCAGAACAUGGGUGAUAAGGUCCGUGUUCGAAAGGGAAACAGCCCAGACCACCAGCUAAGGUCCCAAAAUAUAUGUUAAGUGGAAAAGGAUGUGGCGUUGCCCAGACAACUAGGAUGUUGGCUUAGAAGCAGCCAUCAUUUAAAGAGUGCGUAAUAGCUCACUAGUCGAGUGACACUGCGCCGAAAAUGUACCGGGGCUAAACAUAUUACCGAAGCUGUGGAUUGUCCUUUGGACAAUGGUAGGAGAGCGUUCUAAGGGCGUUGAAGCAUGAUCGUAAGGACAUGUGGAGCGCUUAGAAGUGAGAAUGCCGGUGUGAGUAGCGAAAGACGGGUGAGAAUCCCGUCCACCGAUUGACUAAGGUUUCCAGAGGAAGGCUCGUCCGCUCUGGGUUAGUCGGGUCCUAAGCUGAGGCCGACAGGCGUAGGCGAUGGAUAACAGGUUGAUAUUCCUGUACCACCUAUAAUCGUUUUAAUCGAUGGGGGGGACGCAGUAGGAUAGGCGAAGCGUGCGAUUGGAUUGCACGUCUAAGCAGUAAGGCUGAGUAUUAGGCAAAUCCGGUACUCAUUAAGGCUGAGCUGUGAUGGGGAGAAGACAUUGUGUCUUCGAGUCGUUGAUUUCACACUGCCGAGAAAAGCCUCUAGAUAGAAAAUAGGUGCCCGUACCGCAAACCGACACAGGUAGUCAAGAUGAGAAUUCUAAGGUGAGCGAGCGAACUCUCGUUAAGGAACUCGGCAAAAUGACCCCGUAACUUCGGGAGAAGGGGUGCUCUUUAGGGUUAACGCCCAGAAGAGCCGCAGUGAAUAGGCCCAAGCGACUGUUUAUCAAAAACACAGGUCUCUGCUAAACCGUAAGGUGAUGUAUAGGGGCUGACGCCUGCCCGGUGCUGGAAGGUUAAGAGGAGUGGUUAGCUUCUGCGAAGCUACGAAUCGAAGCCCCAGUAAACGGCGGCCGUAACUAUAACGGUCCUAAGGUAGCGAAAUUCCUUGUCGGGUAAGUUCCGACCCGCACGAAAGGCGUAACGAUUUGGGCACUGUCUCAACGAGAGACUCGGUGAAAUCAUAGUACCUGUGAAGAUGCAGGUUACCCGCGACAGGACGGAAAGACCCCGUGGAGCUUUACUGUAGCCUGAUAUUGAAAUUCGGCACAGCUUGUACAGGAUAGGUAGGAGCCUUUGAAACGUGAGCGCUAGCUUACGUGGAGGCGCUGGUGGGAUACUACCCUAGCUGUGUUGGCUUUCUAACCCGCACCACUUAUCGUGGUGGGAGACAGUGUCAGGCGGGCAGUUUGACUGGGGCGGUCGCCUCCUAAAAGGUAACGGAGGCGCUCAAAGGUUCCCUCAGAAUGGUUGGAAAUCAUUCAUAGAGUGUAAAGGCAUAAGGGAGCUUGACUGCGAGACCUACAAGUCGAGCAGGGUCGAAAGACGGACUUAGUGAUCCGGUGGUUCCGCAUGGAAGGGCCAUCGCUCAACGGAUAAAAGCUACCCCGGGGAUAACAGGCUUAUCUCCCCCAAGAGUUCACAUCGACGGGGAGGUUUGGCACCUCGAUGUCGGCUCAUCGCAUCCUGGGGCUGUAGUCGGUCCCAAGGGUUGGGCUGUUCGCCCAUUAAAGCGGUACGCGAGCUGGGUUCAGAACGUCGUGAGACAGUUCGGUCCCUAUCCGUCGUGGGCGUAGGAAAUUUGAGAGGAGCUGUCCUUAGUACGAGAGGACCGGGAUGGACAUACCUCUGGUGUACCAGUUGUCGUGCCAACGGCAUAGCUGGGUAGCUAUGUGUGGACGGGAUAAGUGCUGAAAGCAUCUAAGCAUGAAGCCCCCCUCAAGAUGAGAUUUCCCAACUUCGGUUAUAAGAUCCCUCAAAGAUGAUGAGGUUAAUAGGUUCGAGGUGGAAGCAUGGUGACAUGUGGAGCUGACGAAUACUAAUCGAUCGAAGACUUAAUCAA